GCCUCGCGAGCACGACUGGCUGUGCAGCGGACUUUUACUCCGUGGGCUCCGGGUUCGAAUCCCGGGCGAGGCA
RNAcentral lists this transfer RNA (73 nucleotides) under Aeromicrobium panaciterrae. RNAcentral's name for it is "tRNA-Lys". It matches the Rfam family "tRNA". Rfam says of the family: Transfer RNA (tRNA) molecules are approximately 80 nucleotides in length. Their secondary structure includes four short double-helical elements and three loops (D, anti-codon, and T loops). The record is from RNAcentral. Lineage: Bacteria; Bacillati; Actinomycetota; Actinomycetes; Propionibacteriales; Nocardioidaceae.